AAUGAACGCUGGCGGCAGGCCUAACACAUGCAAGUCGAACGGAUCCUUCGGGAUUAGUGGCGGACGGGUGAGUAACGUGUGGGAACGUACCCCUUUCUUCGGAAUAGCCUCGGGAAACUGGGAGUAAUACCGGAUAAGCCCUAUUGGGGAAAGAUUUAUCGGGAAGGGAUCGGCCCGCGUUGGAUUAGGUAGUUGGUGGGGUAAUGGCCUACCAAGCCGACGAUCCAUAGCUGGUUUGAGAGGAUGAUCAGCCACACUGGGACUGAGACACGGCCCAGACUCCUACGGGAGGCAGCAGUGGGGAAUCUUAGACAAUGGGGGAACCCUGAUCUAGCCAUGCCGCGUGAUCGAUGAAGGCCUUAGGGUGUAAGAUCUUUCAGUGGGGAAGAUAAUGACGGUACCCACAGAAGAAGCCCCGGCUAACUCCGUGCCAGCAGCCGCGGUAAUGUCAGUGACU
RNAcentral lists this ribosomal RNA (457 nucleotides) under uncultured bacterium. Its description in RNAcentral is "bacterial SSU rRNA". It matches the Rfam family "Bacterial small subunit ribosomal RNA", at positions 29 to 536 of the family's 1533-position model. The record is from RNAcentral.